RNAcentral lists this ribosomal RNA (465 nucleotides) under Vreelandella stevensii. Its description in RNAcentral is "partial 16S ribosomal RNA". It matches the Rfam family "Bacterial small subunit ribosomal RNA", at positions 338 to 795 of the family's 1533-position model. The record is from RNAcentral. Lineage: Bacteria; Pseudomonadati; Pseudomonadota; Gammaproteobacteria; Oceanospirillales; Halomonadaceae.
CCUACGGGUGGCUGCAGUGGGGAAUAUUGGACAAUGGGGGGAACCCUGAUCCAGCCAUGCCGCGUGUGUGAAGAAGGCCCUCGGGUUGUAAAGCACUUUCAGUGAGGAAGAACGCCUGGUGGUUAAUACCCAUCAGGAAAGACAUCACUCACAGAAGAAGCACCGACUAACUCCGUGCCAGCAGCCGCGGUAAUACGGAGGGUGCGAGCGUUAAUCGGAAUUACUGGGCGUAAAGCGCGCGUAGGUGGCUUGAUAAGCCGGUUGUGAAAGCCCCGGGCUCAACCUGGGAACGGCAUCCGGAACUGUCAAGCUAGAGUGCAGGAGAGGAAGGUAGAAUUCCCGGUGUAGCGGUGAAAUGCGUAGAGAUCGGGAGGAAUACCAGUGGCGAAGGCGGCCUUCUGGACUGACACUGACACUGAGGUGCGAAAGCGUGGGUAGCAAACAGGAUUAGAUACCCUGGUAGUC